Molecule: ribosomal RNA, 477 nt
Filed under: uncultured bacterium
Lineage: Bacteria
Description: partial 16S ribosomal RNA
Rfam family: Bacterial small subunit ribosomal RNA
Source: RNAcentral
AUUGAACGCUGGCGGCAUGCCUUACACAUGCAAGUCGAACGGUAACAGGUUAAGCUGACGAGUGGCGAACGGGUGAGUAAUGUAUCGGAACGUGCCCAGUCGUGGGGGAUAACUGCUCGAAAGAGCAGCUAAUACCGCAUACGACCUGAGGGUGAAAGCGGGGGAUCGCAAGACCUCGCGCGAUUGGAGCGGCCGAUAUCAGAUUAGGUAGUUGGUGAGGUAAAGGCUCACCAAGCCGACGAUCUGUAGCUGGUCUGAGAGGACGACCAGCCACACUGGGAGUGGGACACGGCCCAGACUCAAACGGGAGGCAGCAGUGGGGAAUUUUGGACAAUGGCCGCAGGCCUGAUCCAGCCAUGCGGCGGGCGAGAAGAGGGCCUUCGGGUUGUAAACCGCUUUUGUCGGGAAAGAAAAGAUUCGGGCUAAUACCUGGGAAGCAUGACGGUACCUGAAGAGUAAGCACCGGCUAACUACGUG